CCUACGGGUGGCUGCAGUGGGGAAUAUUGCACAAUGGGCGCAAGCCUGAUGCAGCCAUGCCGCGUGUGUGAAGAAGGCCUUCGGGUUGUAAAGCACUUUCAGCGGGGAGGAAGGCGGUGAGGUUAACAACCUCAUCGAUUGACGUUACCCGCAGAAGAAGCACCGGCUAACUCCGUGCCAGCAGCCGCGGUAAUACGGAGGGUGCAAGCGUUAAUCGGAAUUACUGGGCGUAAAGCGCACGCAGGCGGUCUGUCAAGUCGGAUGUGAAAUCCCCGGGCUCAACCUGGGAACUGCAUUCGAAACUGGCAGGCUAGAGUCUUGUAGAGGGGGGUAGAAUUCCAGGUGUAGCGGUGAAAUGCGUAGAGAUCUGGAGGAAUACCGGUGGCGAAGGCGGCCCCCUGGACAAAGACUGACGCUCAGGUGCGAAAGCGUGGGGAGCAAACAGGAUUAGAUACCCGUGUAGUC
RNAcentral lists this ribosomal RNA (465 nucleotides) under uncultured Klebsiella sp. Its description in RNAcentral is "bacterial SSU rRNA". It matches the Rfam family "Bacterial small subunit ribosomal RNA", at positions 338 to 795 of the family's 1533-position model. Lineage: Bacteria; Pseudomonadati; Pseudomonadota; Gammaproteobacteria; Enterobacterales; Enterobacteriaceae. The record is from RNAcentral.